CGACGAGUUUGAUCCUGGCUCAGAUUGAACGCUGGCGGCAUGCUUUACACAUGCAAGUCGAACGGUAACAGGGACUUCGGUCUGCUGACGAGUGGCGAACGGGUGAGUAAUGCAUCGGAACGUACCGAGUAAUGGGGAUAACGCAUCGAAAGGUGUGCUAAUACCGCAUACGCCCUGAGGGGGUAACGCGGGGGAUCGAAAGCCUCGCGUUAUUCGAGCGGCCGAUGCCGGAUUAGCUAGUUGGUGGGGUUAAACGGCUCA
RNAcentral lists this ribosomal RNA (261 nucleotides) under uncultured Laribacter sp. Its description in RNAcentral is "partial 16S ribosomal RNA". It matches the Rfam family "Bacterial small subunit ribosomal RNA", at positions 1 to 267 of the family's 1533-position model. The record is from RNAcentral. Lineage: Bacteria; Pseudomonadati; Pseudomonadota; Betaproteobacteria; Neisseriales; Aquaspirillaceae.